This 1609-nucleotide ribosomal RNA is filed under the name human gut metagenome. Its description in RNAcentral is "bacterial LSU rRNA". It matches the Rfam family "Bacterial large subunit ribosomal RNA", at positions 1127 to 2820 of the family's 2925-position model. The record is from RNAcentral.
AGAGUGCGUAAUAGCUCACUGGUCGAGCGUCUUUGCGCGGAGAAUUUAACGGGGCUAAACCUGACACCGAAGCUUAGGCAAUACAGCAAUGUAUUGGGUAGGGGAGCGUUGUAUACGCGGUGAAACAGUAGCGCAAGCGGCUGUGGAGUGUAUAGAAGUGAGAAUGCCGGAAUGAGUAGCGCGAAUGCAGUGAGAAUCUGCAUGGCCGAAAGCCUCAGGUUUCUGGAGGAAGGUUCGUCCGCUCCAGGUUAGUCGGGAGCUAAGGUGAGGCCUAACGGCGUAGCCGAUGCACAGACGGUAGAGAUUCCGUCACCACCAAAAGAGUUAAACACAGGGACACAUUUGAAGUCUCGGAGCCGGGUGUUGGUUCCGGUAGCGAUCGAGGGAAAUUAGUACCGAAGUCCGGGAUGGAAGAUGGCGAGAAAAGCUGUGUGUAUUUCUGCGGUGCCCGUACCGCAAACCGACACAGGUAGGUAGGAAGAAGAUUCUAAGGCCAACGGGAGAAGGGUUGUUAAGGAACUCGGCAAAUUGACCCCGUAACUUCGGGAGAAGGGGUGCUCCAGAGAUGGAGCCGCAGAGAAUCGGCCCAAGCAACUGUUUACCAAAAACACAGGUUUGUGCUAAAUCGAAAGAUGACGUAUACGAGCUGACGCCUGCCCGGUGCUGGAAGGUUAAGAGGAGAUGUGCAAGCAUUGAAUCGAAGCCCCAGUGAACGGCGGCCGUAACUAUAACGGUCCUAAGGUAGCGAAAUUCCUUGUCAGGUAAGUUCUGACCCGCAUGAAAGGCGUAAUGAUUUGGGCACUGUCUCAACAGCCCGCCCGGCGAAAUUGUAGUACCGGUGAAGAUGCCGGUUACCCGCGACAAGACGGAAAGACCCCAUGGAGCUUUACUGUAGCCUAAUAUUGGGUUUCGAUGUUGCAUGCACAGGAUAGAUGGGACACUGGGAAGCAAGUGCUUUGGCAUUUGUGGAGUGGCCGUUGGGAUACCAUCCUUGCGAUAUUGGAAUUCUAACCUGCGCCUUUGAAUCAAGGCGGGGGACAUUGUUAGGUGGGCAGUUUGACUGGGGCGGUCGCCUCCUAAAGAGUAACGGAGGCGUUCAAAGGUUCGCUCAGCUUGAACGGAAAUCAAGCAAAAGAGUGCAAACGCAGAAGCGAGCCUAACUGCGAGACUGACGGGUCGAGCAGUAACGAAAGUUGGAGUUAGUGAUCCGGUGGUAUGUGAGUGGAAAUGCCAUCGCUCAACGGAUAAAAGUUACCCUGGGGAUAACAGGCUGAUCUCCCCCAAGAGUCCACAUCGACGGGGAGGUUUGGCACCUCGAUGUCGGCUCAUCGCAUCCUGGGGCUGUAUUCGGUCCCAAGGGUUUGGCUGUUCGCCAAUUAAAGCGGUACGCGAGCUGGGUUCAGAACGUCGUGAGACAGUUCGGUCCCUAUCUGUCGUGGGCGCAGGAUAUUUGAUGGGAGCUGUUCCUAGUACGAGAGGACCGGAGCGGACGUACCUCUGGCGCACCAGUUGUUCUGCCAAGGGCAUAGCUGGGCAACUAUGUACGGAUCGGAUAAACGCUGAAAGCAUCUAAGCGUGAAGCCGACCCAAAGAUAAGAUAUCCCAUUGU